AACAACACAACGCGUUUAUUUUCUUACCAUUUCCUUUUAAUUUGGGCAUCUAAUAAAGUCCCCAUAAACAAACAAACAAAAUAAAAAAAAAACAAUCGUAACAUACUGCAGAGAAAUGUACAGGGGAUUAUAUUAAACAAUAAUAAAAGGUGAUAUUUAAAAAAUAAAUAAAUCUUUAAAUAUAAUUAAAGGGAUCGUGGUAUCGACCGCAGUAAGAACUAGUACGGAUUCGGUCCAUGUUCGCUCACAAAUAUAAUUAACUUACUAUAAUAAUAUAAACGAAAUAUUUCUGUUAUAACAAUGAGUAA
Molecule: long non-coding RNA, 308 nt
Organism: Daktulosphaira vitifoliae (grape phylloxera)
Lineage: Eukaryota; Metazoa; Arthropoda; Insecta; Hemiptera; Phylloxeridae
Exons: 2
Source: RefSeq, a predicted model, not a curated record